This 213-nucleotide unclassified non-coding RNA is filed under the name Hevea brasiliensis (rubber tree). The record is from RNAcentral. Lineage: Eukaryota; Viridiplantae; Streptophyta; Magnoliopsida; Malpighiales; Euphorbiaceae.
CUGUAAACCAAGCCAUUUGGCUCAAGAAGUUGCUGGUUGAUUUGAAGCAUGAACAGGUAAACGAAGCCAUUUGGCUCAGUAUUUGAAUGCUGUGUGACAAUCUCCACAAACUCGGAGAUUCUUAAAAACCCUUACUGGUUUAGAUUUUGAUGUGCUGAUGAAACCAAAUGCAACAGCAAUUUUCUCACUGUGUUGAAACAAAUAUUGCUCCUU